RNAcentral lists this ribosomal RNA (253 nucleotides) under uncultured bacterium. RNAcentral describes it as "partial 16S ribosomal RNA". It matches the Rfam family "Bacterial small subunit ribosomal RNA", at positions 524 to 776 of the family's 1533-position model. The record is from RNAcentral.
UACGUAGGUGGCAAGCGUUAUCCGGAUUUAUUGGGUGUAAAGGGCGUGUAGGCGGGAAUGCAAGUCAGAUGUGAAAACUCAGGGCUCAACCCUGAGCCUGCAUUUGAAACUGUAUUUCUUGAGUGCUGGAGAGGCAAUCGGAAUUCCGUGUGUAGCGGUGAAAUGCGUAGAUAUACGGAGGAACACCAGUGGCGAAGGCGGAUUGCUGGACAGUAACUGACGCUGAGGCGCGAAAGCGUGGGGAGCAGACAGG